RNAcentral lists this ribosomal RNA (253 nucleotides) under uncultured bacterium. RNAcentral describes it as "partial 16S ribosomal RNA". It matches the Rfam family "Bacterial small subunit ribosomal RNA", at positions 524 to 776 of the family's 1533-position model. The record is from RNAcentral.
UACGUAGGGUGCGAGCGUUAAUCGGAAUUACUGGGCGUAAAGCGUGCGCAGGCGGUUCGUUGUGUCGGUGGUGAAAGCCCCGGGCUUAACCUGGGAAUGGCCAUGGAAACUGGCGAACUGGAGUGUGGCAGAGGGGGGUGGAAUUCCACGUGUAGCAGUGAAAUGCGUAGAUAUGUGGAGGAACACCGAUGGCGAAGGCAGCCCCCUGGGUCAACACUGACGCUCAUGCACGAAAGCGUGGGGAGCAAACAGG